This 403-nucleotide ribosomal RNA is filed under the name uncultured bacterium. Its description in RNAcentral is "bacterial SSU rRNA". It matches the Rfam family "Bacterial small subunit ribosomal RNA", at positions 32 to 414 of the family's 1533-position model. The record is from RNAcentral.
AAUCAACGCUGGCGGCGUGCCUCAGACAUGCAAGUCGAACGCGAAAGGUUCCUUCGGGAACCGAGUAGAGUGGCGCACGGGUGAGUAACACGUAGGUAAUUUGCCUUUGGGUGGGGAAUAACAGCCGGAAACGGCUGCUAAUACCGCAUAAUGCAGCGGCUCGACAUCGAGACAGUUGUUAAAGCGGGGGAUCGCAAGACCUCGCGCCUAAAGAGAAGCCUGCGGCAGAUUAGCUAGUUGGUAGGGUAAUGGCCUACCAAGGCGACGAUCUGUAACCGGCCUGAGAGGGCGGUCGGUCACACUGACACUGACAUACGGGUCAGACUCCUACGGGAGGCAGCAGUCGGGAAUCUUGCGCAAUGGGCGAAAGCCUGACGCAGCGACGCCGCGUGAGGGAUGACGG